CCUACGGGUGGCAGCAGUGAGGAAUAUUGGUCAAUGGACGCGAGUCUGAACCAGCCAUGUAGCGUGCAGGAUGACUGCCCUAUGGGUUGUAAACUUCUUUUAUAAAAGGAUAAAACGAGGCACGUGUGCCUUUUUGCAUGUACUUUAUGAAUAAGGAUCGGCUAACUCCGUGCCAGCAGCCGCGGUAAUACGGAGGAUCCGAGCGUUAUCCGGAUUUAUUGGGUUUAAAGGGAGCGUAGAUGGGUUGUUAAGUCAGUUGUGAAAGUUUGCGGCUCAACCGUAACAUUGCCAUUGAUACUGGCAGUCUUGAGUACAGUUGAGGUAGGCGGAAUGUGUGGUGUAGCGGUGAAAUGCUUAGAGAUCACGAAGAACCCCGAUUGCGAAGGCAGCUUACUAAACUGUGACUGACAUUGAUGCUCGAAAGUGUGGGUAGCAAACAGGAUUAGAUACCCCAGUAGUC
This 460-nucleotide ribosomal RNA is filed under the name uncultured bacterium. RNAcentral describes it as "partial 16S ribosomal RNA". It matches the Rfam family "Bacterial small subunit ribosomal RNA", at positions 338 to 795 of the family's 1533-position model. The record is from RNAcentral.